This is a ribosomal RNA of Ochotona princeps (American pika), 112 nucleotides long. The record is from Ensembl. Lineage: Eukaryota; Metazoa; Chordata; Mammalia; Lagomorpha; Ochotonidae.
GUCUACCGCCAUACCACCCUGAUCAGAUCUCGUCUGAUCUCGGAAGCUAAGCAGGGUCGGGCCUGGUUAGUACUUGGAUGAGAUACAUACGGAUUUCAAGGAACUGAACAUU